RNAcentral lists this ribosomal RNA (253 nucleotides) under uncultured bacterium. Its description in RNAcentral is "partial 16S ribosomal RNA". It matches the Rfam family "Bacterial small subunit ribosomal RNA", at positions 524 to 776 of the family's 1533-position model. The record is from RNAcentral.
UACGUAGGUGGCAAGCGUUAUUCGGAAUCACUAGGCGUAAAGCGCAGGUAGGCGGUUCGGUAAGUCUCUUGUGAAAGCUCCCGGCUCAACUGGGAGAGGUCAAGGGAAACUACCGGGCUAGAGUGUGGCAGAGGAAGCUGGAAUUCCCGGUGUAGCGGUGAAAUGCGUAGAGAUCGGGAGGAAUACCUAUGGCGAAAGCAGGCUUCUGGGCCGUCACUGACGCUGAUCUGCGAAAGCUAGGGGAGCAAACAGG